CUCCGUACGGGGAAGGAUGAGAAGCUUCGACUAAGGUUCGAUUCGAGCGCAGCGAGAAAGCGUUGCCGCAGGCAACGACCCGAAGGGUGAGGAGCGGAGCGACGAAUAAUCCUUCCCCCACCACCA
This 126-nucleotide small RNA is filed under the name Salmonella enterica subsp. salamae. RNAcentral's name for it is "partial RtT sRNA". It matches the Rfam family "RtT RNA". Rfam says of the family: This family represents a bacterial cis-regulatory element known as RtT RNA. The exact function of RtT is unknown although it is thought that it may be involved in changing the cellular response in relation to amino acid starvation. Lineage: Bacteria; Pseudomonadati; Pseudomonadota; Gammaproteobacteria; Enterobacterales; Enterobacteriaceae. The record is from RNAcentral.